Molecule: long non-coding RNA, 1074 nt
Organism: Homo sapiens (human)
Lineage: Eukaryota; Metazoa; Chordata; Mammalia; Primates; Hominidae
Gene: SLC25A28-DT
Product: SLC25A28 divergent transcript
Exons: 1
Source: RefSeq, marked validated
ACUAGCGCCUGCAGAGCUGCGGUCCCUGUGCGCGGGAUCGCGUCGGGGGCGGGGCGGCGACAGGCCUUCAACGUCAAACUGCUGACGGGCGCCGUUACGACCCGCGCUCCCGUGCGCUCCUCAAAUUCUGAGACGCGUGGCUGGAGAGCGGGCGGCCCUGGCCCCGGAGAGCCGUGUUCCCGCGGGAUCUCGUCGCGGGCGUGAGGCGGGGCCGGCCUGGGCCGGUCAUCCCUGGCUGGCGCGACCCGCAGCCUGUCCGGGAAGCCGUUGCGACAUGCGGGCUGGGAACCGCCUCACCUCCAGGGGGGACCGCGGCGGCCCGCUAGACUCUGGUCGGGUCUGGAGUAUUGGGCCCUCUGGCCGGACUCGGUGCUCCUCAGGCCCCAGCGCCCGGCACUGAGCCUCGCAUCCACAUUCGCAGAGUAAACCCAACAAGUGUUGAAUGAAUGAGGUUCCCCGGGCCCCGGCUGUCACUGGGCUCUGCGCCAGGCCAAGAGCCGAAGGCGGGGGAGGAAGAUGUCGAAAUGGGCGGGAUGAUUCACAGAUGACGGCCGGUGGCGAGGCGGGGCUGGAGGCCGCAUCCCAAAGGCAGCAGGGAAGUGCGGCGGCUGUGGGGAAGCUCGGACGCACGGCCUGGCCGAGUCUGAAGCAUCAGUAUUUUGUCCCUGAGCCGGCGCGCUGAUGGGUCCCCCGCCUGGCGAUGAGGGCUUCUCCCUCCCUCGGGUCAGCCCGGGUCCUGAGAGGCAAGGCCAGCGAUUCCCGGCCUUAGGACCUCCUGCUCUAGGGAGCACGGGCGUCUUCUUCCAUUUGCCUUCCCCGAGCGUGUUGGCACAAGCUGCCCGCGGUUUCCAGCUCUGUCUUCUCUGUUUUACCCAGAUGAUGCAACUGUGGACUUCUCCAUCUGUUCAUAGGUUUUCCUUGGAUAGGAAAGAUGUUUUCCUUUUUUCUUUCUAAAGUUUAGCUCUUCUCUGGGCUUCCUUUUUAAAAACUUUUUCUACUCUCUUCAGCAGUUGUUAUUAACCUUUAGGUCGCGACCGUUUGGAAAAUAAUAAAACUACGAAUUCUCUUCUCCUA